GCAUGGUGAUGAUGAAUUUGAAAUUGUCCGAUUCAUUUCAUGACAGGAUUAAUAAUACCUCCUACUCAUACUGA
Molecule: small nucleolar RNA, 74 nt
Organism: Hevea brasiliensis (rubber tree)
Lineage: Eukaryota; Viridiplantae; Streptophyta; Magnoliopsida; Malpighiales; Euphorbiaceae
Product: small nucleolar RNA Z105
Exons: 1
Source: RefSeq, a predicted model, not a curated record